Molecule: ribosomal RNA, 305 nt
Filed under: uncultured bacterium
Lineage: Bacteria
Description: bacterial SSU rRNA
Rfam family: Bacterial small subunit ribosomal RNA
Source: RNAcentral
ACCUACGGGGGGCAGCAGUGAGGAAUAUUGGUCAAUGGGCGGGAGCCUGAACCAGCCAAGCCGCGUGAGGGAAGAAGGUACAGCGUAUCGUAAACCUCUUUUGUCAGGGAACAAAGGCGGGGACUAGUCCCCGGAUGAGGGUACCUGAAGAAAAAGCAUCGGCUAACUCCGUGCCAGCAGCCGCGGUAAUACGGAGGAUGCGAGCGUUAUCCGGAUUUAUUGGGUUUAAAGGGUGCGCAGGCGGCCUGUUAAGUCAGCGGUAAAAGCCCGGGGCUCAACCCCGGCCAGCCGUUGAAACUGGCGGG